This 1891-nucleotide long non-coding RNA is filed under the name Amphibalanus amphitrite. RNAcentral describes it as "uncharacterized LOC122367173, transcript variant X2". Lineage: Eukaryota; Metazoa; Arthropoda; Thecostraca; Balanomorpha; Balanidae. The record is from RNAcentral.
UAUAAAGCUCUGUGAAAUCGAAAACACGGCACGCUCUUUACGGUUUUGGUAACCCCCAGUUUUGGAUGUGCCGUAGAAUGAUUUUAACCGUGAGCAGCGUGCACAUCUCAAAACACAAACAAUAAUCAGCUGAUUGCGGCAUCGUCGGCACCUAUUCCACGCCAGAAUUUGUGGCGUACUAUAACAGCCUGCCCGCAGUGUUGAAUGUUGUUGUUUGAAAAUUGUGUGAAUUCCGAACUGUGAAGUUGAAAUUAAAUCGAAUUGAAUUAAUUAAGACAUGCCGAGGAAGAUUCGAGAAGCAGAACGUUGCAAGAGAUUGGAGUUUUUUAGGUUUUGUGUGCAAAAUAAAUACGGCCCAACACAUGCUGCUGGCAGCAGUAUGGAUGCUGCUUCAACUCGACAUAGACUUGGGGAGCAAGACUGGACGCCGACCAGCAUAACAUACAAUAUGCUAUCCACAUUUAUUUUUCAGCAUGCCAUCGCUAUUAAAACGAUUGAUGUGAUUUGAUCUUAUGCAAGCCUCUUUCACGACUUGACCUCUUCUUUGGUUUCAGUCUUCUUUGCUGGCUGUGCACUUUCUCUGGAAUGUCUUGUUACCUUCUUCGUCCACAUAUGCCAUCCUCAUUUCUUUUUCAGCAUGCCAUCGCUAUUAAAACAAUUGAUGUGAUUUGAUCUUAUGCAAGCCUCUUUCACGACUUGACCUCUUCUUCGAUUUCAGUCUUCUUUGCUGGCUGUUCACUUUUGCUGGAAUGUCUUGUUACCUUCUUCGUACUUGCACAUACAAUUUAUAUCAAUGGCAGUGUGCAUGGAUCUUCUUUCUCAGUAAUGUAUGCUGUCUUACCCCAGAAAUACCAGUGUUUGAACAGUGAGAAGAGUGUGGUGCACAAUGUCAAGCUCAUAGCAUGAAUACCUUUCGGGGUUUGCCUUAUGCUUUAUUGUCACCAUCCGGAUUGAGAAUGUCAUGCACACUUCUGCAGCUUUUCUGUUGAUGGACAGCACUUCCCAGUUCAGCUUCAAAUCACUAUUGAGGGCCAGCAAUAUGUGCUAUGUUUCUUCUGCACGUUCCUAUGCUCCUGGGUCCUGACGUACUCUUCAUACUCAUAUUUCCAGUUUUCUGGGUGUUGCUUGUCAUUUGUGCAUUCUGUUUUUUGUGAUUGCCGUCUGCUUAUCCAGUUGUACAGUAAAUAUUGCCAUCUACCUACUUCAGGUUUGAUUGCUCAAAGCUAAAGUCCAUCCAUCUCAUGAGCUUUACGUAUAACGUACUCUUGCCGGUUCGUCAGAGAAUGCGUUAUGCAAUGAAUUUUCAAAUUUGCUGGACUUGUCAGAAAUUAUAAACGCAAUUGUCUGCAAAUUUUUCUGUUGGAUUUGAUAUUUGGGUUUGUCUUUCCUGAUGUUCUGACAGGCGUUAUUCGGAAAGCUGAGAGGCGCUGCAGCGGGAGGGAUCCGUGCGCAGAAGUGGGCCGAGGCGUUGCAGCUGGCAGCGUCGCUGGGCCUGGUACCGCUUGCAUGCGAUCAGCGGCACCUGCGCAAGACCUUAAUAAAAAAUCAGCUGGCUUCUAGUCGAGGUCGCCGUGACCGCCAGAGAAAAACUGGCAAUGGCGUUCAAGAACCGCUCGACGAGUUGGACGAGCUCGUCCUUAGCAUGGACGAUGGCUCAUACGAUUAUAUCGUCCCGGGAGCCCAAAACUCCCUAGACGCCAGCCAGAGUUCGGCGGAGGAGUUGUGGGCGGCCGCGGCUGUGGUCCCGUCUGUCGCCACCAGCUCUACCCCGGCUGCCGCCAUCGCUUCCACGCCUGUCGCGACCUCUGCCCCGCCUACCGCCGGCGCCUCCCGGCCUGCUACCGGCGCUUCCGCGCCUACCGCCGGCGCCUCCCGGCCUGCCGCCGGCGCU